This 253-nucleotide ribosomal RNA is filed under the name uncultured bacterium. RNAcentral describes it as "partial 16S ribosomal RNA". It matches the Rfam family "Bacterial small subunit ribosomal RNA", at positions 524 to 776 of the family's 1533-position model. The record is from RNAcentral.
UACAGAGGUCUCGAGCGUUAGGCGGAAUCACUGGGCUUAAAGCGUGUGUAGGUGGAUCGGUAAGUACCUUGUGAAAUCCCAUGGCUUAACCAUGGAACUGCUCGGCAUACUGGCGAUCUUGAGCCACUUAGGGGCAACCGGAACAAAUGGUGGAGCGGUGAAAUGCGUAGAUAUCUGGAGGAACACCGGUGGCGAAGGCGGCAUCCUGGACCAACACUGACACUGAGGAGCGAAAGCCAGGGGAGCAAACGGG